RNAcentral lists this long non-coding RNA (594 nucleotides) under Lathyrus oleraceus (garden pea). RNAcentral's name for it is "Pisum sativum (pea) long non-coding RNA (PSAT_LNC017980)". The record is from RNAcentral. Lineage: Eukaryota; Viridiplantae; Streptophyta; Magnoliopsida; Fabales; Fabaceae.
GAGGAAGUGGACUCGGCAGGAUGUCGCAUCCUGGGCCUACGUAGUUUGUCGGAAACAAACAUCAGAGUCAACGUAGUUCGGGGAAAAGAGAGACAUGCUCGCUAGGACAUCGCAUCCUAUGCCUACGUAUCUUCUCUAUCCAGAGGAGAAUCAGAGCACUCGUAGCUCGGCUAACGCACGCCGAAACAAAACACCAAAAAGAGACGCUGAGACGUCAAAAGAAAACACUCAAAAGGAAACAAAAUGCCAAUACAUGGGCUUAUAUCUGACUCCCAAGAACAACACAAAAGGAAACAAAAUGCCAAUACAUGGACUUAUAUCCGACUCCACACAAAAACAAACAAGGAAACAGAAUGCCAAUACUUGGACUUAUAUCCGACUCCAAACAAUAGCACACGCUAACCAGCGAACAUAAAAGAAAAAGGUUAUCUGUGCGAACCACAACAAAGCAAUCAAAUAUUCAAAGAUGAACCCCAAAGAUGAACCCCAAAUGAUAAUCACCACAAUCGUCACAAAUGAACCCCAAGCGAGUGACAACCGUCACAAAUGAACCCCAAUGAAUCUCAAGGAUGAACCCCACAAGGUAUAAACAUA